RNAcentral lists this ribosomal RNA (428 nucleotides) under uncultured Comamonas sp. RNAcentral describes it as "bacterial SSU rRNA". It matches the Rfam family "Bacterial small subunit ribosomal RNA", at positions 353 to 772 of the family's 1533-position model. Lineage: Bacteria; Pseudomonadati; Pseudomonadota; Betaproteobacteria; Burkholderiales; Comamonadaceae. The record is from RNAcentral.
AGUGGGGAAUUUUGGACAAUGGGCGCAAGCCUGAUCCAGCAAUGCCGCGUGCAGGAUGAAGGCCUUCGGGUUGUAAACUGCUUUUGUACGGAACGAAAAGUCUUGGGUUAAUACCCUGGGAUCAUGACGGUACCGUAAGAAUAAGCACCGGCUAACUACGUGCCAGCAGCCGCGGUAAUACGUAGGGUGCAAGCGUUAAUCGGAAUUACUGGGCGUAAAGCGUGCGCAGGCGGUUUUGUAAGACAGUGGUGAAAUCCCCGGGCUCAACCUGGGAACUGCCAUUGGUGACUGCAAGGCUGGAGUGCGGCAGAGGGGGAUGGAAUUCCGCGUGUAGCAGUGAAAUGCGUAGAUAUGCGGAGGAACACCGAUGGCGAAGGCAAUCCCCUGGGCCUGCACUGACGCUCAUGCACGAAAGCGUGGGGAGCAAA